UCCCUGGUGGCUCAGAUGGUAAAGCAUCUGCCUGCAAUGCAGGAGACCCGGGUUCGAACCCUGGUUGGGAAG
RNAcentral lists this transfer RNA (72 nucleotides) under Ovis aries (sheep). It matches the Rfam family "tRNA". Rfam says of the family: Transfer RNA (tRNA) molecules are approximately 80 nucleotides in length. Their secondary structure includes four short double-helical elements and three loops (D, anti-codon, and T loops). Lineage: Eukaryota; Metazoa; Chordata; Mammalia; Artiodactyla; Bovidae. The record is from Rfam by way of RNAcentral.